ACCCUAACCUCGGGGUGCCAUAUGGCUGAGACGCGCAAGCGGACCCGUUGAACCUGAACCGGUUAAGACCGGCGGAGGGAAGGUGAAUGGAAUAAUC
RNAcentral lists this non-coding RNA (97 nucleotides) under Cryomorphaceae bacterium. Its description in RNAcentral is "TPP sequence". It matches the Rfam family "TPP riboswitch aptamer (THI element)". Rfam says of the family: Vitamin B(1) in its active form thiamin pyrophosphate (TPP) is an essential coenzyme that is synthesised by coupling of pyrimidine and thiazole moieties in bacteria. The previously detected thiamin-regulatory element, thi box was extended, resulting in a new, highly conserved RNA secondary structure, the THI element, which is widely distributed in eubacteria and also occurs in some archaea. The record is from RNAcentral. Lineage: Bacteria; Pseudomonadati; Bacteroidota; Flavobacteriia; Flavobacteriales; Cryomorphaceae.